RNAcentral lists this long non-coding RNA (519 nucleotides) under Homo sapiens (human). RNAcentral's name for it is "HSALNT0305722". Lineage: Eukaryota; Metazoa; Chordata; Mammalia; Primates; Hominidae. The record is from RNAcentral.
GGCUGCUCCGCAGGGACGUAGAGAGCCGCAGGCCCAAGGAGGGGCCGCCCCCGCCGAGCCCGCCCCUCCGCCCCAGCGCGGCCUGUCACCGCGGCCCCAGCUUCUUCUUGGUUUCUUCGUACAUUCUGGAUCCACCCCUUUCAUGCAUAUUCCAGACCACAUUUCCACUGGAGCAGUUGAAAUGAGAGAGAUGGGAAUGGGACUCACCCGAACCAGAGGAAUUUUUAUUACAGACCCAUUAACAGAGGUGUCAAAGUCACAGGAACAAGGAUGUGCACCUCAGAAACACAGAGGUCAGUGGAAAAUCAGUUUGCUUCUAUUUGUUUAAAAAAUGGGGGACUUAUGCAUAAAUCUAAGACCUUCUUGAAUCUAACAUUCUAAGACCUGUAUGCCACAGAAAGGAGGGUCUCAGAACGCCGGAGGAUAGUAUUUAAAUCUUAAAUAUCUAUAUUGUUCUCCACAGUUACUGGGUCACCACAUAGCAGGCAUUCAAUAAAAACGUGUUUGUUUACUAAGUAA